CUCGGUUCUCUUCCCUCAGCGUGUGGGAAGGCGGUUUGGUUUGGUCUGUAGCUCAGGGCUGCGCUUUGAACACCUUCAAGAGAAGGAAAAAUAAAGCCACGCAGAAAAGCAAUCUUGUGCAACACAAAAAUCGGCUUCGGGGCUGCAGCGUCAGUGAAUACGGAGUAACCAAUAAAGAUCUGGCUAUUAAAGAACAGCACAGUCAUGAAAAGGAGUUCAGCUGAUGCUUCAACCCGCAGCACAGCAGGUGUUAUCCAUUCUUUUGCACUUUACAGCUUAUUCAUCGUUAUGCUUAUAUCCUGAAGCCCAUUUCCCAAGUAGACUUGUAUGGAUUUCUAUGUUAUUACAACACAGUGUAAAGUUUUGGAGGCGUGGGGCUGGUAAUGAAGUAAUAGGUAUAGCUCACAGGCUAAUUUGCAGGAUGAAGGGCUAAACCCUGUGAGGCAGUGGCUGG
Molecule: long non-coding RNA, 454 nt
Filed under: Gallus gallus (chicken)
Lineage: Eukaryota; Metazoa; Chordata; Aves; Galliformes; Phasianidae
Description: long non-coding RNA NONGGAT003523
Source: RNAcentral